AUCGCUUCUCGGCCUUUUGGCUAAGAUCAAGUGUAGUAUCUGUUCUUAUCAGAAACUGCGCUCUUGGUCUUUUGGCUAAGACAGCGGUCACCUCCCUUUGGAAGGAAAACAUUUGCCUGUUGUGGCACUGUUUUCUGCUCCUCAUUUGGGAGGAUAUUGUAUUGUAUUGGUGCAUUGUUCCUCUGUUAUUCA
Trematomus bernacchii (emerald rockcod) is the source of this 192-nucleotide small nuclear RNA. RefSeq annotates it as U2 spliceosomal RNA. The record is from RefSeq and is a predicted model, not a curated record. NCBI's taxonomy places the organism in Eukaryota, Metazoa, Chordata, Actinopteri, Perciformes, Nototheniidae. The transcript has a single exon.